GCCAACGUUUGGUGAUGGGCAAUGGCGAUGGAGAUGAAUGCACGCAGACACGGUGCUAUUUUAAUAAAUUUGUACUUUAUUUUGGGGGUAACCGGCUACGAUGUGUAGAAAAAGCUACGGCUUUAUGAAACUUGCUGCCUUCUCGGUUUCUAAUACUUGAUUGCUGCAGGUCACGGGCCAUGCUAAGUAUGAUGAGCUUUGUUUUAUUUUUUAUCCAAUAAACAGUUAGAAAGCAAAGCUUGUGAGAUAGGAAAGUAAAACCUGUGAGAUGGGAAAAGAAUGCAUGCUUUUGUGUAACCAAUGAGAUCAACUGACCAUCAGAGAGAUGAAGAUAAAGAGUGAUGAAGAAACUCAAAAAGUUUUACAAUUUCUUUGCGGGAAGAAAAUGUUGCAGGCAAUAGCCUUGGGCAAAUGCAGUACUUGCUGCUCUUCAUGUGCUGGAUGUAACUUAUUCUGCUUGCAACUUCAUGAGACAUUGGACCCAAUUGGCCAAAGAUCUUCAUAUUAGGACCCCCAACUCAGAAACAAAUGAUUAGAUAAUAAUAAAAUUAAAACUCUAUGGACAAAUUAUCAAAUUUUGUUGUUGAAUAAUGCUGUACUUAUCAUCUCAAUUAAUGUGACACCAAUAUAAUUUCAC
This 637-nucleotide long non-coding RNA is filed under the name Citrus sinensis (sweet orange). RNAcentral's name for it is "long non-coding RNA (CSIN_LNC005027)". The record is from RNAcentral. Lineage: Eukaryota; Viridiplantae; Streptophyta; Magnoliopsida; Sapindales; Rutaceae.